This 253-nucleotide ribosomal RNA is filed under the name uncultured prokaryote. Its description in RNAcentral is "partial 16S ribosomal RNA". It matches the Rfam family "Bacterial small subunit ribosomal RNA", at positions 524 to 776 of the family's 1533-position model. The record is from RNAcentral.
UACGGAGGGUGCGAGCGUUGUCCGGAAUCACUGGGCGUAAAGGGCGCGUAGGUGGCCCGUUAAGUGGUCGGUGAAAUCCCGGGGCUCAACUCCGGGGCUGCCGAUCAGACUGGCGAGCUAGAGCACGGUAGGGGCAGAUGGAAUUCCCGGUGUAGCGGUGGAAUGCGUAGAGAUCGGGAGGAAUACCAGUGGCGAAGGCGUUCUGCUGGGCCGUUGCUGACACUGAGGCGCGACAGCGUGGGGAGCAAACAGG